GGAAAUUCUCUGUAUCCUGUGAGCACAGAGAUGUUUCUGUGCGUGAGACCCUGCUGGUGGUCUGUUAUUUGCAGGAGGAUUUUUUGCUUGCAAGGAGAAUUUUGCAACCACCAAGUGCAAACUUUUCUGGAAGAGCUCUGGUUUUCAUACAAAUCUCUGAAUCUCUCCAGAUGGCCUUCCGGAGACACGCUGGGUGAGUGGAAAAUGUAAUGAAAUUCCCAGAGCCUUCUGGUGCACUACCAAGGUAUUCCUGCCAGCUUUCCAGCCCGAGAUGUUGGUGCAGCUGUAGCAGCCCGGGCCACAGAUAGAGUCACAGUAAGCCAAAUCAAUCUCAAGGAGCAGUAGCAGAAUGGCAGCCCUACACCAUGCAGUAAUACCAACGUUUAGCUUACAGAGAAAUGAGUGAUCUGAACUGCUCCAUCAAUACCAAUGCUGAUGCAAGUGGAUCUGAACCAGGAACAGAGCCGUAUGUCUCCCAAGGAAGGCCCAGCUCUGCCAUUUGAACAAUCCUUCUCCAUCUGCUGCUCCUGCUACAGGAGCUGUGUGUGGAGUGGCAGUGCGGUGACGCCAGGCCUGCAGACACUGCCUCUGUCACUCCUGUGUUUCCAGGGAGCCAGGCUGGGUGAGGAAGUGUGGACAAAUGUCAAGGUCAGUUUUGGGAGCUUUUGUAAUGGAAUGCAAGAGGAGCAAAACAGACCUAAGGAAGACAAGGAUUUUACAAUCCAUCUGCUGUUGCAGUCAAAGGACUCCCCAUUAAUUUCAGUAAAAGGAGAAAUAAAGUAUAAACCAGGAAAUCAGAUGAAACUGAGAGAACUUGCCCAUGAGUUUAUUUUUCUUAGCAAUAUAGAAUAAUUUCUUAAACUGAGGAAAUGUUCCUGAUAGCUGAGAUCUUCAUUCUAGAAAUAGUGUGGCUAAGUAUUUUUGUAUGUGGAUUUAAAUUAUUCAAAAAAAUAAAUUUUAUGAAUAUUUUUCA
This 973-nucleotide long non-coding RNA is filed under the name Cyanistes caeruleus (blue tit). RNAcentral's name for it is "lncRNA (ENSCCEG00000008988.1)". Lineage: Eukaryota; Metazoa; Chordata; Aves; Passeriformes; Paridae. The record is from RNAcentral.